UUACAUUGAUCCACUUCCUGCGGAAACAAAAGUCAACCACUUGUUUUAACAGGAAUCCAUUGCGGAACCUUAAACCUUAAAGAUGGCGUCGUAUAUCACAAUCUGCUAUUUCUUGGCUACCGUAGUUUGCUGCUGUCUUUGCUGUCAAGUGAUCCAGCCAGCAAAUUCCACUCAGACUAUCACUGUUACUAAAGGAACAUCUGUUAGAAUGCAGUGGGUUCCAUUGCUGCAAGGAUGUCAAUUCAUUGGCCAGCAAUGCGGUUAUUUAUCAGGUAGCAGCCUUAUAACUUUAGCAGAAAAGAGGAGAGAUGGAGCUUUUCAAGCUGUUUCUGCACUGCCAAAACAGUUUGCUGGAAGGGUAUCGGCGAUUUCUUCAAGCUAUACUCUAGUCAUUGGCAACAUACAGUUUAACGACACAGCCUACCGUUUCAGAUGCAAUGUUGAAGCCGGUUUUUGGAUUUAUAGACGAAUGUACCCUCAAAAACCAACUUACAAUCUGCAAGUUUUUGGAAAGCCAGAGUUCAUGUCUCUGCCUUCUUCUGAAGUCGUUGUUGAAGAGGGAUCGACUUUACGCAUUGUUGCGAUGGUUUCUGCAAAUCCUGUACCAGUUGUAAGUUUUCGUUGGUCACGUGGUACGAACACCACGGUGUCACAAGCAGCCCAGCAAUAUCCAUUUGUGUUCAAAGGAACGUACGAAGUGCAGAAAAUUCCAAUCGACUAUUGUGGAAGAAGACUUUUAUUUAAAUUUACCAACGUCCAUGGCACCUCUGGAGAACGGAAUAUAUCGAUAAGAGUUCUUUUUCGCAAGGAUAAGCAAUUUUACCCAGAAGCCAAACUGGUGAACUCAUCAUGUUUGAAGAUGAGUUGGCAGAUUGGCAAAACUAAUGCGUGUGAUGUUUUGUACAAUUUGGUAUUGAAGAACCUUUCCUCAGCAACCCUGUAUCGUGUCAGUGUUUGGAAUCGCUCGGAAUUCACCUUCUGCAAUUCUGGAAUAGUUCCGGCGGUCGCAUUGUUCUCUUUGUCCUCUUCCCUUGGAGGAAAUUCAACUGUGUUUGUGAAGACAAGAACAACUAGCCCUCCUACCACAACCCAUUCGAGUAGCAUACCUAGAACAAGAAAAAGCACUCGGCUUACGUGGACGACAACUACCCGCAUUGCUACUGAUGAAAAGACAACAACAAAAACCCAGACAGUUACUGAUCAAAAGACAACAAUGAGUACCCGAAAAGCUAAGGAUGAGAGUACAAAAAACUUGAGAUCAUCUAAAUUUUUCACCAUCGAGGUAACAAGCUCCAACUUUACAACAAAGCAUUACAAAUCAACACAAACCAGACCAGCCAUCACUAAACAUUGUGAGUCAAACAGAAACUGCAGUGAGUCAGACAAGAAGAUAAAAGGACAGCAACAGCAGCAACAAAAUUUUGCUUCUUCCGUGGCGUACAUUGCUUUUGGUUUGGUCAUCUUUAUUUUGGUCAUCAUAAUUGUUUGUCUUUUGGUUUGGAAUUUCCGUCUAAGAGGCAAAACAAAAAUGGUUGAUUUAGUUUCAACUGUCCAAAGAAGUGGUUUCAGCAAAAAGUCAGCAGAAGAUGCACCAGAGAAGGGGAAUACAAAUUAUAUGGAUCUCAAAGAAAUUAAUGAACAGCCAAGCUACGCGACUUUGUCUGAAAGAGAAUCGUAUUAUGAGAAUUAUCAAGAGGGACCGUUUUAUGAAAACACAUUUACGUGAAAACAAAUAUGCAUGAACGAUUAUAUUUUCUUAUUUUGAAUGCAUAGCUAGGCUGCCUAGUUUAGUAUCUUUUUUUUAAAUUUGAAAAUUAAGAAAUAUGAUUUGUUUCAGCGAUCUCAAUAAAUGUUACUAUAUAUGUUUAUAAUAAAGAUCUUGAAAUAUAUCGAAAUGUCUGAUAGGCGUUUAGUAGCUUUAGAAGCCAGAAAAUGCAUAAUUCUUUCUACUUGACUUCAUCUCUAGAAAUGAAACACAUGGAUACCGUAAAUCCUCGAAUUAGCCCCCUUGGGGCUUAUUUAUUUUUGAUAUUUUUUGAUGGGGCUUAUUCGAGGAGGGCUUACCCGGGGGGCGCUUGUACAUUUGUUGUAGACAUUGAGAAGACUUUCUUUAUGAGCAUUUAAUUAAUUAUUACCAAAAGUAUGAAUUUGUUGUCGUAAUUUAAUAAAACGACACAAAAUCAAUACCCCAAAAUUUUGUUUCUUCUUGAAAAAUAUUACCACAAAAAAUGGAACAUCCCGCACCAGUAUAUGUGGAAGUUACCCUCCCCGGGCUUUUAUCAACAAAGGAAAAGCUUCUGUACAGUCGGAUUUUAAACCUUAAUUUCUAAAAGGUUUCUUCAAGCUUGCUAAAUUGUCCUCUUAAUUGCUGCCAUGGCUUGUACUUAGAUUCUGAAGGUAAAAUUAAAAAAAAUUACUAUGCUAGUUGCUUGUUUUCAUAAUAUCCGAUAUUCCAAUUGCUCGCAACGUGAAAAAGGUAAUUGCUAACGGAUACUACCAAAAAGGUUUGUAUUCUUCUUCUCUUGUUUCACCUAGUCAAGUUCUGAAACCACGCUGCAAUGCAUUUAGGGAUAGCGUUUCGAUGACUGCAAAGUGAAUUUGAUUCCUGAGUGCACCAAUUUCGAUUUCGUAGCUCACUUUCUUCUUGGCCGCCGUUUAAUUCAGGUUUACUUAAAUGAGGAAAUGAGGGAUAUUAUCAAAUUUUGUUAUUUCACAAAUUCUUUAUUCCUACAUCUGCAAUUUCAGACCAUUAUUUCGAUAUUGAAGAAGAUUAUUGGUGGACUUAUCCACCGUAAAUUAGGCCCUAGAACUAACUGAUGUGGUUCUUCAUUCUUUUCUCAAGGACUACACGCAACCAUUGCACAACUCAAGCCUCUCAGAUGUCUCACUGUUUAAAUGAUUAAUGAUGUCUUGGAAAGAGAUGUUGUGAAAUACGAAAGGUUUUCGCCGCCAGUCUGUUUCCACCUGAUAUUUUCACGUGAAAUACAGAACCCUUUCGCAAUGGGGCUGUGAAAAUAUGAUAAUUUCAAGCAUUAAUGCGAAUAAUUAUCAUAAAUAUUUGUUUUCAAAGAAGCCGGCUGAAAGAUCACGUGUUUCUUAAGAUGAAAUUAUGCCUCCGGGGGUGACUGCUACAAAGUAAAAGAGAACUGGAAAAUUAUAAUUCAAAGCUGACCAACAGAACAUCAUAACGAAAGAUGUUAUGGAAGAAAACAAUCAAUCUUUGUCUAAUAUAUUUAUUUCCAGGAAUAGCUCUAAAUUUAACGUUUGCUUUAUCAUAAAGUUCUUUGCUUGCUUUUCUCGGCUUGUGUUUACUGAACAAGUAUAUUUUUCACAAGGAUUUGGUUUUUUGCCGAAAAGCCUUCACAACAAAUAAAAUGUAACUACAGGAUUCCACAGAAAAGUUGUAAGGACCAUUUUGGUGCAGAUGUACUGCAAGUAAAAAGAUGCCCUCGGACCCGUUUGAACAUUAUGAUUAGUAUCAACUAUGCAUAAAGAAGAUGACAGCAAUAAAGCUUUGAUUUGCUCUGAAAUCUUUAGUUCUUUUCUCUAAACAGCUUUAUUUGUCGUGAAAAACAAAUCUUAUUUUCCAAUAUUGAAUAUGGGCACUCGUAAUACACUCCUUCGGCCGGUCGAUUCUAGUUCCCCCGGCCACUAACCACAUGAAAUAUUAAAGCGAUAUUGACAACUGUGAAAACCAAUCAGAAACAACAGCCUGUUCUAUCGUUUGAUCACAACACCGAAGCAGGUGAACAUAUGAUUGAUAAACUCAUGGCCUUCUGCUUCACAACUUAGAAUUUCGAAUAGGCAAAUACUCAUUCGAUCAUGUACUUCUUUUGGCAGUUAUGACUGCUGUGGAUAUCGAAACGAAGCCUCAAGUAUAGGAAUGUUAUAUAAAUGGAUUGCUGAAGGGCUGCUGAAAAAUGCUGGAAAUGCAUCAACAUGAUAAUUUUGAUGCUCACCAUUGUCAAAUGCCGAUGCAGUACCAGUGCAAAGGAGAACCAAACAACGGAGAUAAAGAUGGCAGAAGAGAAACAACUGUGAUAGCCACAACAGGUACAACUCCUGAUCAGGCCCAUGAGAUCAGCUACUGUGAUACAAAAGUAAUUGGGAAUGGAUCAUUUGGUGUUGUAUACCAAGCACGUCUCCUUGAGACUGGAGACUUAGUUGCAAUAAAAAAAGUUUUACAGGACAAAAGGUUCAAG
Rhopilema esculentum is the source of this 4202-nucleotide RNA transcript. It is a transcript of the gene named glycogen synthase kinase-3 beta, with no coding region annotated. Lineage: Eukaryota; Metazoa; Cnidaria; Scyphozoa; Rhizostomeae; Rhizostomatidae. The record is from RefSeq and is a predicted model, not a curated record.